Molecule: ribosomal RNA, 243 nt
Filed under: uncultured bacterium
Lineage: Bacteria
Description: partial 16S ribosomal RNA
Rfam family: Bacterial small subunit ribosomal RNA
Source: RNAcentral
GGGAAUAUUGGUAAUGGGCGCAAGCCUGAACCAGCAACGCCGCGUGUGCGAUGAAGGCCUUCGGGUUGUAAAGCACUUUUGACCGGGACGAGGAAGGACGGUACCGGUGGAAUAAGCCUCGGCUAACCACGUGCCAGCAGCCGCGGUACAACGUAGGAGGCGAGCGUUAUCCGGACUUACUGGGUGUAAAGCGUGUGCAGGGGGUUAGCUAAUUUGGGUGGGAAAGCUCCUGGCUCAACUGGG